AUACGGAGGGUGCGAGCGUUAUCCGGAUUCAUUGGGUUUAAAGGGUGCGCAGGCGGACUUGUAAGUCAGUGGUGAAAUCCCGGGGCUCAACCUCGGAACUGCCAUUGAUACUGCAAGUCUUGAGUUUGGUUGAAGUGGGCGGAAUGUAGCAUGUAGCGGUGAAAUGCAUAGAUAUGCUACAGAACACCGAUCGCGAAGGCAGCUCACUAAACCAACACUGACGCUCAGGCACGAAAGCGUGGGGAGCGAACAGGAUUAGAUACCCCGGUAGUCC
RNAcentral lists this ribosomal RNA (274 nucleotides) under uncultured bacterium. RNAcentral describes it as "partial 16S ribosomal RNA". It matches the Rfam family "Bacterial small subunit ribosomal RNA", at positions 523 to 796 of the family's 1533-position model. The record is from RNAcentral.